GCGCCCGUAGCUCAACGGAUAGAGCAUUUGACUACGGAUCAAAAGGUUGGGGGUUCGAAUCCCUUCGGGCGCG
RNAcentral lists this transfer RNA (73 nucleotides) under Micromonosporaceae bacterium. Its description in RNAcentral is "tRNA-Arg". It matches the Rfam family "tRNA". Rfam says of the family: Transfer RNA (tRNA) molecules are approximately 80 nucleotides in length. Their secondary structure includes four short double-helical elements and three loops (D, anti-codon, and T loops). The record is from RNAcentral. RNAcentral also lists the same sequence under 2 other names. Lineage: Bacteria; Bacillati; Actinomycetota; Actinomycetes; Micromonosporales; Micromonosporaceae.